GUAAAAAUACUUCCCAUUUGUUUAAAAUCAAGUCCUCAAGAUGGAGUGGUAUUUUCAAACUCCAGUGAGCUGGAGCCUCAGAACUAGAGAACUGGAUCACAGAGUUAGUCCAGCACAUACUUCCGCUUUGCUAUACCUUCCGUUUUUGUCUAGUACCACUUGCUAGUGAAAUAUCUGUUCUGAGUCUUUCCAAAGACAACCACAUCCAAGUGGGGAGAAGGCCGACAUUCGGGGUGCUAGAAGGGUGGGGUGGCAUGAUUCAGAUCAACGGGGCUGACUUUCCACUGUUUCACCUCACUUGCACCGUAGAGACCAGUUCUGGGACUCCUCAGUUGACAGAUGUGGAGACCCAGAGUCAAGGAAUGAUGGUCCCCUAGGACCCCUGGGGAAUUUCACACAACCAGUCAGCACCUGGCUGCCAUCAGCCUAAGGCUGUGUCACUCAAGAGGGCUUCCUCUCCAGAUGAAUAAAAGCUGAUUUGAAAGUCAAACACAUAUCAAAACCCGGCAUGUUUUCAAACACCACGACCGACACUUGAUUUGUGUUUCCUGAAGCCACCCCAGUGAGCCACUAUGAAAUAAAUUAAAAAGAAUGGUCAAGGCUGAAUGCACACUGAGGUUUCCAUGUGCUCAGCUCAGCAGAUUCAGCGGCCAGUUCUGGGAGAAAUAUUGGAAGGCACGCUGCACCUUUCUUCACAAUGGGAUCAGCAGGUGAAAGCAAGACGUUUGAAUGGAGUGGAGUGUUUCACUUAAUCAUUAGCACUGCUGACAUCAAUGAAAAACAAACAAUGCGUAUCGUCGGCAUGGGCACCUACGGUGGCAUCUUUUUGCCCACUUUGACUUGCCUGGCCUGUUUCAGACUCAGGACUGGCACGGCAUUGGCAAGUUUAUGGUUUUACAAACCCUGAAGCACGAUUUGCAAUAAAUGAUGAAGACAUUAAAAAUACUGCAUGCAAACACCACGGUCUUGAACAAGGACAGGACUUUGGAAUUGUAAGAGUGGAAAGGCACUGAUGGUCCAAACACCUGUCCUUCAGUUUGAAACCAGCUGGGUAAGUGACUGGCAGACUCUGGGAGACUCACUGGUGCUGGGAACACUGAACGGCACUUUCCCCAGGUGUCGUAUCCUAGGCAGUUUGGGUGGUAGGUGGGCAAAUUGUCAAAAAUCAAUCAAAAUCUCUAGUGAGAAAACCUUUUUCAUUGUCUUUCGAUCUUCCCGAAUCCUUUGAGGGGUCUCUUGCUCCCAAACCCUUGUAAAUAUGUCCUUCCUCCCUGAAAACACUGUCCUUUGGCCCCUGCUUGUAUUAAACAGAGCAAAAACAGGUCUCAAGCUCAGAAGGUUUACCAGUAUAGAGUUUAAUAAUAUUGUUUUGUUUUAUUGCAUUUCUUUUUGUGAUUACUUUCCAUUAAUGGCAAGUGACUUUUUUUUUCCAUUUAGAGUGAUUUAAAAUUUUUCUUAAAAUACAGGUAUUCACAUUUAAAAAAACUGAGUUGCUUUCCAAGAAAAAUGGUGUAGGUGCUACACAGAUAUGACACCAUGGGACAGAUGGUUCCUGGAGUUUGGGAAACGCUGAUGGGCGGCGUUCCCUAACCUGGCACUGCUUAGAUAGGGGAGAUACCUCUGAACACAGUAGUGUUUGUAAUGCCAUUUAGAUCUACUGGUUUCGAUAACUCACGGGUCUUUUUUUCUUUUUAAAUAAAUAAUUACCUUUUCUUGAUCACUGUUGUAUAAAACUUGGAAAUACAGAAAAACAUGUAGAAUAAAGAGAGAAAAAUAUAUAAAAUUAUAUAGAAUAGAAGAAAAAUCACUCAUCAUCUCUCCACUCAGAAAUAACCACUCCUAAUAUAUUGGUAAAUUUACUAGGAGUGCACCAACAUAGCUGUUAUUAGAGUGUAUGCAUUUUAUUUUUGUAGCCUGUUUUAUUUCCUUAACCUUAUAGUGUAAGCAUGUUCCGUAUCAUUCAAAAUUCUUAAUAAACAUCAGUCUAAAUGGCUGUAAGAUAUUUAAUGUAGAGAAGCCUCAUAAUGGAUGUAAUCAUUCCCUAGCUGUUGGACAUUUAACUAUUCUCCAAAUGUUGGGUUGUUUCUGGUUCUGCCUAUUAUCAUGCUGUGAUGAAUAUAUAUUUUUUUGUUUGUUUAACAGACAGGGUCUCAC
Chlorocebus sabaeus (green monkey) is the source of this 2154-nucleotide non-coding RNA. NCBI's taxonomy places the organism in Eukaryota, Metazoa, Chordata, Mammalia, Primates, Cercopithecidae. The record is from RefSeq and is a predicted model, not a curated record.